ACUGAAUAGAUACCCGGGUAGUCCACGCCGUAAACGAUGGGCACUAGAUGCUUGGGGGAGCGACCCUCUGAGUGUCGUCGCUAACGCAUUGAGUGCCCCGCCUGGGGAGUACGGCCGCAAGGCUGAAACUCAAAGGAAUUGACGGGGGCCCGCACAAGCGGUGGAGCAUGUGGUUUAAUUCGACGCAACGCGAAGAACCUUACCUAGGCUUGACAUGCAUGGGAAAGCCCUGAGAAACCAGGGCCCCUCUUCGGAGUCCAUGCACAGGUGCUGCAUGGCUGUCGUCAGCUCGUGUCGUGAGAUGUUGGGUUAAGUCCCGCAACGAGCGCAACCCCCGUUUCUAGUUGCCAGCGAGUAAAGUCGGGGACUCUAGAAAGACUGCCGGUGCCAAACCGGAGGAAGGUGGGGAUGACGUCAAGUCAUCAUGGUCCUCACGUCUAGGGCUACACACGUGCUACAAUGGCCGGUACAGCGGGUUGCGAGCUAGCGAUAGCAAGCCAAUCCCUU
This 507-nucleotide ribosomal RNA is filed under the name uncultured bacterium. Its description in RNAcentral is "bacterial SSU rRNA". It matches the Rfam family "Bacterial small subunit ribosomal RNA", at positions 772 to 1277 of the family's 1533-position model. The record is from RNAcentral.